This 497-nucleotide ribosomal RNA is filed under the name uncultured bacterium. Its description in RNAcentral is "partial 16S ribosomal RNA". It matches the Rfam family "Bacterial small subunit ribosomal RNA", at positions 28 to 507 of the family's 1533-position model. The record is from RNAcentral.
GAUGAACGCUGGCGGCGUGCCUAAUACAUGCAAGUCGAGCGAACAGACGAGGAGCUUGCUCCUCUGACGUUAGCGGCGGACGGGUGAGUAACACGUGGAUAACCUACCUAUAAGACUGGGAUAACUUCGGGAAACCGGAGCUAAUACCGGAUAAUAUAUUGAACCGCAUGGUUCAAUAGUGAAAGACGGUUUUGCUGUCACUUAUAGAUGGAUCCGCGCCGCAUUAGCUAGUUGGUAAGGUAACGGCUUACCAAGGCAACGAUGCGUAGCCGACCUGAGAGGGUGAUCGGCCACACUGGAACUGAGACACGGUCCAGACUCCUACGGGAGGCAGCAGUAGGGAAUCUUCCGCAAUGGGCGAAAGCCUGACGGAGCAACGCCGCGUGAGUGAUGAAGGUCUUCGGAUCGUAAAACUCUGUUAUUAGGGAAGAACAAAUGUGUAAGUAACUAUGCACGUCUUGACGGUACCUAAUCAGAAUGCCACGGCUAACUACGUG